Molecule: ribosomal RNA, 467 nt
Filed under: uncultured bacterium
Lineage: Bacteria
Description: partial 16S ribosomal RNA
Rfam family: Bacterial small subunit ribosomal RNA
Source: RNAcentral
GACGAACGCUGGCGGCGUGCUUAACACAUGCAAGUCGAACGGAAAGGCCCUGCUUUUGUGGGGUGCUCGAGUGGCGAACGGGUGAGUAACACGUGAGUAACCUGCCCUUGACUUUGGGAUAACUUCAGGAAACUGGGGCUAAUACCGGAUAGGAGCUCCUGCUGCAUGGUGGGGGUUGGAAAGUUUCGGCGGUUGGGGAUGGACUCGCGGCUUAUCAGCUUGUUGGUGGGGUAGUGGCUUACCAAGGCUUUGACGGGUAGCCGGCCUGAGAGGGUGACCGGCCACAUUGGGACUGGGAUACGGCCAAGACUCCUACGGGAGGCAGCAGUGGGGAAUAUUGCACAAUGGGCGGAAGCCUGAUGCAGCAACGCCGCGUGCGGGAUGACGGCCUUCGGGUUGUAAACCGCUUUCGCCUGUGACGAAGCGUGAGUGACGGUAAUGGGUAAAGAAGCACCGGCUAACUACGU